GAUGAACGCUAGCUACAGGCUUAACACAUGCAAGUCAGGGGCAGCAUGAAGUCAGCUUGCUGACUUUGAUGGCGACCGGCGCACGGGUGCGUAACGCGUAUCCAAUCUACCCAUGGCUCGGGAAUAGCCUUUCGAAAGAAAGAUUAAUGCCCGAUGGUCUCCUUUCAGGACAUCCUGUUUGGAGUAAAGAUUCAUCGGCGAUGGAUGGGGAUGCGUCCGAUUAGCUGGUUGGCGGGCAACGGCCCACCAAGGCGACGAUCAGUAGGGGUUCUGAGAGGAAGGUCCCCCACAUUGGAACUGAGACACGGUCCAAACUCCUACGGGAGGCAGCAGUGAGGAAUAUUGGUCAAUGGGCGAGAGCCUGAACCAGCCAAGUCGCGUGAAGGAUGAAGGUUCUAUGGAUUGUAAACUUCUUUGUCCGAGGGUAAAAGGUCACGUGUGACUUCUUGCAAGUAUCGGACGAAUAAGCAUCGGCUAACUCCGUGCC
This 487-nucleotide ribosomal RNA is filed under the name uncultured bacterium. RNAcentral describes it as "bacterial SSU rRNA". It matches the Rfam family "Bacterial small subunit ribosomal RNA", at positions 28 to 509 of the family's 1533-position model. The record is from RNAcentral.